This 403-nucleotide ribosomal RNA is filed under the name uncultured bacterium. Its description in RNAcentral is "partial 16S ribosomal RNA". It matches the Rfam family "Bacterial small subunit ribosomal RNA", at positions 30 to 526 of the family's 1533-position model. The record is from RNAcentral.
AUUGAACGCUGGCGGCAGGCCUAACACAUGCAAGUCGAGCGAGCGGCGGACGGGUGAGUACUGUAUGGGGACUGCCCGAUAGAGGGGGAUAAGUACUGGAAACGGUAGCUAAUACCGCAUACUAUCGGAUAACCGAUAUGGGAUUAGCUAGUAGGUGAGGUAAUGGCUCACCUAGGCGACGAUCCCUAGCUGGUCUGAGAGGAUGAUCAGCCACACUGGGACUGAGACACGGCCCAGACUCCUACGGAGGCAGCAGUGGGGAAUAUUGCACAAUGGGCGCAAGCCUGAUGCAGCCAUGCCGCGUGAAUGAAGAAGGCCUUCGGGUUGUAAAGUACUUUCAGUCGGGAGGCGUUACCGAAAGAAGAAGCACCGGCUAACUCCGUGCCAGCAGCCGCGGUAAUAC